RNAcentral lists this ribosomal RNA (549 nucleotides) under uncultured bacterium. Its description in RNAcentral is "bacterial SSU rRNA". It matches the Rfam family "Bacterial small subunit ribosomal RNA", at positions 355 to 896 of the family's 1533-position model. The record is from RNAcentral.
UGGGGAAUAUUGGACAAUGGGCGCAAGCCUGAUCCAGCAAUACCGCGUGUGUGAAGAAGGCCUUAGGGUUGUAAAGCACUUUCAAUUGGGAGGAAAACCUGCCGGUCAAUACCCGGUAGCUUGACAUUACCUUUAGAAGAAGCACCGGCUAACUCCGUGCCAGCAGCCGCGGUAAUACGGAGGGUGCGAGCGUUAAUCGGAAUUACUGGGCGUAAAGCGUGCGUAGGCGGUUCGUUAAGUCAGAUGUGAAAGCCCUGGGCUCAACCUGGGAACUGCAUUUGAAACUGGCGGACUAGAGUUGAGUAGAGGGGAGUGGAAUUUCAGGUGUAGCGGUGAAAUGCGUAGAUAUCUGAAGGAACACCAGUGGCGAAGGCGACUCCCUGGACUMRAACUGACGCUGAGGUACGAAAGCGUGGGUAGCAAACAGGAUUAGAUACCCUGGUAGUCCACGCCGUAAACGAUGUCAACUAGCCGUUGGUCCUAUUUACAGGAUUAGUGGCGCAGCUAACGCAUUAAGUUGACCGCCUGGGGAGUACGGCCGCAAGGUUA